RNAcentral lists this ribosomal RNA (465 nucleotides) under Vreelandella stevensii. RNAcentral describes it as "partial 16S ribosomal RNA". It matches the Rfam family "Bacterial small subunit ribosomal RNA", at positions 338 to 795 of the family's 1533-position model. The record is from RNAcentral. Lineage: Bacteria; Pseudomonadati; Pseudomonadota; Gammaproteobacteria; Oceanospirillales; Halomonadaceae.
CCUACGGGGGGCUGCAGUGGGGAAUAUUGGACAAUGGGGGCAACCCUGAUCCAGCCAUGCCGCGUGUGUGAAGAAGGCCCUCGGGUUGUAAAGCACUUUCAGUGAGGAAGAACGCCUGGUGGUUAAUACCCAUCAGGAAAGACAUCACUCACAGAAGAAGCACCGGCUAACUCCGUGCCAGCAGCCGCGGUAAUACGGAGGGUGCGAGCGUUAAUCGGAAUUACUGGGCGUAAAGCGCGCGUAGGUGGCUUGAUAAGCCGGUUGGGAAAGCCCCGGGCUCAACCUGGGAACGGCAUCCGGAACUGUCAAGCUUGAGUGCAGGAGAGGAAGGUAGAAUUCCCGGUGUAGCGGUGAAAUGCGUAGAGAUCGGGAGGAAUACCAGUGGCGAAGGCGGCCCUCUGGACUGAAACUGACACUGAGGUGCGAAAGCGUGGGUAGCAAACAGGAUUAGAUACCCGGGUAGUC